AACGAACGCUGGCGGCGUGCUUAACACAUGCAAGUCGAACGGAUCAAGGGGCUUGCUCCUUGAUUAGUGGCGCACGGGUGAGUAACGCGUGGAUAAUCUGCCCGACGAUCUGGGAUAACAUCUCGAAAGGGGUGCUAAUACCGGAUAAGCCCACGGGGUCUUCGGAUCUUGCGGGAAAAGAGGGGGACCUUCGGGCCUCUUGUCGUCGGAUGAGUCCGCGUACCAUUAGCUAGUUGGCGGGGUAAAGGCCCACCAAGGCUACGAUGGUUAGCUGGUCUGAGAGGAUGAUCAGCCACACUGGAACUGAGACACGGUCCAGACUCCUACGGGAGGCAGCAGUGGGGAAUUUUGCGCAAUGGGGGAAACCCUGACGCAGCAACGCCGCGUGAGUGAUGAAGGCCUUCGGGUCGUAAAGCUCUGUCUAGAGGAAAGAAGUGUGGGGUGGCUAGUAUCCACUUCACUUGACGGUACCUCUGAAGGAAGCACCGGCUAACUCCGUGCCAGCAGCCGCGGUAAUACGGAGGGUGCGAGCGUUGUUCGGAUUUAUUGGGCGUAAAGCGCGUGUAGGCGGUUUCUUAAGUCUGAUGUGAAAGCCCCGGGCUCAACCUGGGAAGUGCAUUGGAUACUAGGAGACUUGAAUACGGGAGAGGGUAGUGGAAUUCCUAGUGUAGGAGUGAAAUCCGUAGAUAUUAGGAGGAACACCGGUGGCGAAGGCGGCUACCUGGACCGAUAUUGACGCUGAGACGCGAAAGCGUGGGUAGCAAACAGGAUUAGAUACCCUGGUAGUCCACGCCGUAAACGAUGAGAACUAGGUGUUGCGGGUAUUGACCCCUGCAGUGCCGCAGCUAACGCAUUAAGUUCUCCGCCUGGGAAGUACGGUCGCAAGACUA
Molecule: ribosomal RNA, 890 nt
Filed under: uncultured bacterium
Lineage: Bacteria
Description: bacterial SSU rRNA
Rfam family: Bacterial small subunit ribosomal RNA
Source: RNAcentral